RNAcentral lists this transfer RNA (72 nucleotides) under Cronartium ribicola 11-2. RNAcentral's name for it is "tRNA-Sup (CTA) (tRNA-Sup-CTA-98-1)". It matches the Rfam family "tRNA". Rfam says of the family: Transfer RNA (tRNA) molecules are approximately 80 nucleotides in length. Their secondary structure includes four short double-helical elements and three loops (D, anti-codon, and T loops). Lineage: Eukaryota; Fungi; Basidiomycota; Pucciniomycetes; Pucciniales; Coleosporiaceae. The record is from RNAcentral.
GUGUCUGUAGCCUAGUGGUAAAAGGCAGUACUCUAGAUGCUGAGGUCGUGGGUUUGAAUUCCACCAGACACA